RNAcentral lists this ribosomal RNA (255 nucleotides) under uncultured bacterium. RNAcentral's name for it is "partial small subunit ribosomal RNA". It matches the Rfam family "Bacterial small subunit ribosomal RNA", at positions 26 to 285 of the family's 1533-position model. The record is from RNAcentral.
AGGACGAACGCUGGCGGCGUGCUUAACACAUGCAAGUCGAACGAUGAAGCCCUUCGGGGUGGAUUAGUGGCGAACGGGUGAGUAACACGUGGGCAACCUGCCCUCCACUCUGGGAUAACUCCGGGAAACCGGGGCUAAUACUGGAUAUGACCUGGGAUCGCAUGGUCCUGGGUGGAAAGUUUUUUCGGUGGAGGAUGGGCCCGCGGCCUAUCAGCUUGUUGGUGGGGUGAUGGCCUACCAAGGCGGUGACGGGUA